Molecule: ribosomal RNA, 253 nt
Filed under: uncultured bacterium
Lineage: Bacteria
Description: partial 16S ribosomal RNA
Rfam family: Bacterial small subunit ribosomal RNA
Source: RNAcentral
UACGGAGGGUGCAAACGUUGCUCGGAAUUAUUGGGCGGAAAGCGCACGUAGGCGGCCUGAUAAGUCGGGUGUGAAAGCCCUCGGCUUAACCGAGGAAGUGCAUUCGAAACUAUCGGGCUUGAAUACUGAAGAGGGUCUCGGAAUUCCCGGUGUAGAGGUGAAAUUCGUAGAUAUCGGGAGGAACACCAGUGGCGAAGGCGGAGACCUGGGCAGAUAUUGACGCUGAGGUGCGAAAGCGUGGGGAGCAAACAGG